This 254-nucleotide ribosomal RNA is filed under the name uncultured bacterium. Its description in RNAcentral is "partial 16S ribosomal RNA". It matches the Rfam family "Bacterial small subunit ribosomal RNA", at positions 524 to 776 of the family's 1533-position model. The record is from RNAcentral.
UACGGGGGGGGUAAGCGUUGUUCGGAAUUACUGGGCGUAAAGGGCGCGUAGGCGGUCAGCACAAGUCAGUUGUGAAAUCUCCGAGCUUAACUCGGAAAGGUCAACUGAUACUGUGCGACUAGAGUGCGGAAGGGGCAACUGGAAUUCUUGGUGUAGCGGUGAAAUGCGUAGAGAUCGGAAAGAACACCAACGGCGAAAGCACUCUGCUGGGCCGACACUGACACUGAGAGACGAAAGCUAGGGGAGCGAAUGGG